Non-coding RNA from Arachis ipaensis, 463 nucleotides. NCBI's taxonomy places the organism in Eukaryota, Viridiplantae, Streptophyta, Magnoliopsida, Fabales, Fabaceae. The record is from RefSeq and is a predicted model, not a curated record.
UUAUUCUGAGCUUGAAGAAAACACGAGGUCCUACACAAUGCUUGAAGAUUCAUGCAAGACAGUUGGAAGAUAGAGAAGAAAUUACUCUAGAUAUUGAAGGAGAGGCAAUUGGUCCUACUGAUGAAGCUGUAAAUAACUUGAGCAAAUUUUUGGGCACAGUGGCAAGGAAUUCAGAUUUUUGUCCAUUAAUUUACACAAAUUGGAAGGGGAUUAAAGAUAAAGAAGCCAUUUGGGAAUAUGUUCAAGCUAAGUUCAUUAUUCCAACUGAAGGAAAGAGGAUAGUCCUUGCUCGUAUCAAUGACAACUAGAGACGGUAUAAGACCACAAUCAAGCAAAAUCAUUUUCUGCCAUACAAAAGUGUUAAUGAAAUGCUGAAAAAUCGUCCUAAAAGCAUACCUGAGAGUCAUUUUCGCAAGUUGAUUGCUUAUUGGAGAACUGAGAAAGUUAAAGAAAACUAUGUUGA